Molecule: non-coding RNA, 664 nt
Organism: Punica granatum (pomegranate)
Lineage: Eukaryota; Viridiplantae; Streptophyta; Magnoliopsida; Myrtales; Lythraceae
Source: RefSeq, a predicted model, not a curated record
AGCAGCAGAGGACUUUAUCGAUAUGAUGAAUUAUUUGUCCACUUUCAGUUUUUAUAAUCAGCUUCUCCGGAAGUUCUUGUGAGAGAGAGAGAGAGAGAGAGAGAGAUGCCGGGCUGGGGACCGCCGCCGGGAGGACCGCCGGGGCCGGGUCCCUGCGGCUGCUGUGAGUUUUGCUGCAACGGGAUAUCCUCAUGCUUUUAUUUCCUCUGCUGCUGCUGCAUUCUGGAGAGAUGCUGCUGGCCAUGCUUUGGCGGGCCAAGAGGUGGGCCUCCAGGCCCAUUUGGCGGUCCACCUGGGCCUCAUGGCGGCCCGCAUGGUGGACCUUUUGGCGGGCCUCAUGGAGGGCCUCAUGGUGGACCUCAUGGCGGGCCCCAUGGUGGGCCCAGGUUCUGAUCAUCUUGUAUUCUGCAGACUCGUGCUUGUCGUGGGAUUGUGAUUUGUGAGCAAUGCGUAAUAACAUAUGCUUUGUGGACAUUUUUACAUUGAGGUCGUGAUGCGUGUUCUUGCCUCCGUGAUUCAAGCAUUGUGUGUUUCCGAUGGAUCAUUCUGUACAAAAUUCCUCAUGAUUAUAUAGAUAUUCGAUGUUGUAGAUUCAAUCACUGAUUUACAUGUUGAGAGUUGGAUAAUAAAGUCCUAAUGCCAUGUUUUCAUGGCAUCACGGCAA